GACGAACGCUGGCGGCGUGCCUAAUACAUGCAAGUAGAACGCUGAAGGAGGAGCUUGCUUCUCUGGAUGAGUUGCGAACGGGUGAGUAACGCGUAGGUAACCUGCCUGGUAGUGGGGGAUAACUAUUGGAAACGAUAGCUAAUACCGCAUAAUAGCAGUUGUUGCAUGAUAACUGUUUGAAAGGUGCAAUUGCACCGCUACCAGAUGGACCUGCGUUGUAUUAGCUAGUUGGUGGGGUAACGGCUCACCAAGGCGACGAUACAUAGCCGACCUGAGAGGGUGAUCGGCCACACUGGGACUGAGACACGGCCCAGACUCCUACGGGAGGCAGCAGUAGGGAAUCUUCGGCAAUGGACGGAAGGCUGACCGAGCAACGCCGCGUGAGUGAAGAAGGUUUUCGGAUCGUAAAGCUCUGUUGUAAGAGAAGAACGAGUGUGAGAGUGGAAAGUUCACACUGUGACGGUAUCUUACCAGAAAGGGACGGCUAACUACGUG
RNAcentral lists this ribosomal RNA (495 nucleotides) under uncultured bacterium. RNAcentral describes it as "partial 16S ribosomal RNA". It matches the Rfam family "Bacterial small subunit ribosomal RNA", at positions 28 to 507 of the family's 1533-position model. The record is from RNAcentral.